AUUUCAGAAUCAGUCAAUAAAACCCUGGUUGAGAUGUCUAGAUGUUUACUCAUCCAAUCGGGGCUCCCUGACUAUCUGUGCGGGGAAGCUGUGAAGACGGCAUGUCACAUAAGAAACCUAUG
This is a long non-coding RNA of Bombus impatiens (common eastern bumble bee), 122 nucleotides long. RefSeq lists it as uncharacterized. The record is from RefSeq and is a predicted model, not a curated record. The transcript is spliced from 4 exons. NCBI's taxonomy places the organism in Eukaryota, Metazoa, Arthropoda, Insecta, Hymenoptera, Apidae.